RNAcentral lists this ribosomal RNA (2390 nucleotides) under Triticum dicoccoides. Its description in RNAcentral is "eukaryotic LSU rRNA". The stretch from base 945 to 2390 matches the Rfam family "Eukaryotic large subunit ribosomal RNA", at positions 1890 to 3368 of the family's 3401-position model. The record is from RNAcentral. Lineage: Eukaryota; Viridiplantae; Streptophyta; Magnoliopsida; Poales; Poaceae.
AAACUUUCAAGGGGUUCCCAUUAUAACCCAACCGUGUAAGGAACGCAAAAUCAAGGAACAUAACACCGGUAUGACGGAAACCAGGGCGGCAAGAGUGGAACAAAACACCAGGCAUAAGGCCGAGCCUUCCACCCUUUACCAAGUAUAUAGGUGUAUUAAGAUAAUCAAGAUAAUAUUAUGAUAUCCCAACAAUAAACAUGUUCCAACAAGGAACAAACUCCAAACUUCACCUGCAACUAGCAACGCUAUAAGAGGGGCUGAGCAAAGCGGUAACAUAGCCAAACAACGGUUUGCUAGGACAAGGUGGGUUAGAGGUUUGACAUGGCAAUUUGGGAGGCAUGAUAAGCAAGUGGUAGGUAUCGUAUUAGGGGCAUAGCAGAAGAGCGAGCAUCUAGCAAGCAAAGAUAGAAGUGAUUUUGAGGGUAUGGUCAUCUUGCCUGCAAAGUUCUCUGAGUUGACUUGAUCCUCGUAAGCGUACUCAACGGGCUCCUCGAUCACGUACUCGUCUCCCGGCUCUACCCAAAGCAAGAACAACAAGCAAAGGGAAAAACAAUCAACCACGUGCAAUGCUCAAACAACAUGAUGCAAACAUGGUCAUGAUAUGCGGGAUGCGAUAUGUGAUGCAUAUGCAUGAUUUGGAAAGGAAUGAUUGAACCUGGCCUCAACUUGGAAAACCAAGAGUGCCACUGGAAAGGUGAGUUGAUUUCAGUCGAAAUCAAUAUAAAUAUCACCGGAAUCGGAUGCACGGUUUGGAAAUGGCGAGCAAAACAAAUAUGGCAUCGGUCUGCGAUUAACAGCACGAGACCAUCUAAAUGCAUCAAGGACAACAUGCUACAGCACUCCAACAUAGCAACAAAAUACAUGGCAGGGAUCCACUCAAGAUGCUUGACAAAAGAUGAACACUGAGCUACGGCCAAUUCACUCAAUAGCAGGUUCAAACAAGCAUGGCAAAAGUGCAAAAGAUAAUAGGUUACAGACUUCGUGAAAAUAACAAGUCAGGAAGUUAACAUCAGGAAGCAAUCUUUAGAGCAAGAUAACAACAUGUUACAGGAACAUAUCAUGGCAAAGCAAGGCAUGGCAUGAAGCUACUCAAAGCAUACAACAAAAGUCCUUUACUGAACAUAAGCCAAAAGGGACCAUAAUUUUACAACUAGCAACGGAAUGGACACUAGAGACUGUUUAAUUAAAACAAAGCAUUGCGAUGGUCCUGGCGGAUGCUGACGCAAUGUGAUUUCUGCCCAGUGCUCUGAAUGUCAAAGUGAAGAAAUUCAACCAAGCGCGGGUAAACGACGGGAGUAACUAUGACUCUCUUAAGGUAGCCAAAUGCCUCGUCAUCUAAUUAGUGACGCGCAUGAAUGGAUUAACGAGAUUCCCACUGUCCCUCUCUACUAUCCAGCGAAACCACAGCCAAGGGAACGGGCUUGGCAGAAUCAGCGGGGAAAGAAGACCCUGUUGAGCUUGACUCUAGUCCGACUUUGUGAAAUGACUUGAGAGGUGUAUGAUAAGUGGGAGCCCUCAUGGGUGCAAGUGAAAUACCACUACUUUUAACGUUAUUUUACUUAUUCCGUGGGUCGGAAGCGGGGCAUGUCCCCUCCUUUUGGCUCCAAGGCCCAGUCUUACCGGGCCGAUCCGGGCGGAAGACAUUGUCAGGUGGGGAGUUUGGCUGAGGCGGCACAUCUGUUAAAAGAUAACGCAUGUGUCCUAAGAUGAGCUCAACGAGAAGAGAAAUCUUGUGUGGAACAAAAGGGUAAAAGCUCGUUUGAUUCUGAUUUCCAGUAUGAAUACGAACCGUGAAAGCGUGGCCUAUCAAUCCUUUAGAUCUUCGGAGUUUGAAGCUAGAGGUGUCAGAAAAGUUACCACAGAGAUAACUGGCUUGUGGCAGCCAAGCGUUCAUAGCGACGUUGCUUUUUGAUCCUUCGAUGCCGGCUCUUCCUAUCAUUGUGAAGCAGAAUUCACCAAGUGUUGGAUUGUUCACCCACCAAUAGGGAUCAUGAGCUGGGUUUAGACCGUCGUGAGAUAGGUUAGUUUUACCCUACUGAUGAUAGUGUCGCGAUAGUCAACCUAGUACAAGAGGAAUCGUUGAUUCACACAAUUGAUCAUCGCGCUUGGUUGAAAAGCCAGUGGCGCGAAGCUACCGUGUGCCGGAUUAUGACUGAACGCCUCUAAGUCAGAAUCCAAGCUAGCAUGCGACGCCUGCGCUCGCCGCCCGCCCCGACCCACGUUAGGGGCGCUUGCGCCCCCAAGGGCCCUAGCCAUUGGCUAAGCCGGUCCGGCCGAGACCGGCCGCCUCGAAGCUCCCUUCCCAACGGGCGGUGGGCUGAAUCCUUUGCAGACGACUUAAAUACACGACACGGCAUUGUAAGUGGCAUAGUGGCCUUGCUGCCACGAUC